This 465-nucleotide ribosomal RNA is filed under the name Vreelandella stevensii. RNAcentral describes it as "partial 16S ribosomal RNA". It matches the Rfam family "Bacterial small subunit ribosomal RNA", at positions 338 to 795 of the family's 1533-position model. Lineage: Bacteria; Pseudomonadati; Pseudomonadota; Gammaproteobacteria; Oceanospirillales; Halomonadaceae. The record is from RNAcentral.
CCUACGGGUGGCAGCAGUGGGGAAUAUUGGACAAUGGGGGCAACCCUGAUCCAGCCAUGCCGCGUGUGUGAAGAAGGCCCUCGGGUUGUAAAGCACUUUCAGUGAGGAAGAACGCCUGGUGGUUAAUACCCAUCAGGAAAGACAUCACUCACAGAAGAAGCACCGGCUAACUCCGUGCCAGCAGCCGCGGUAAUACGGAGGGUGCGAGCGUUAAUCGGAAUUACUGGGCGUAAAGCGCGCGUAGGUGGCUUGAUAAGCCGGUUGUGAAAGCCCCGGGCUCAACCUGUGAACGGCAUCCGGAACUGUCAAGCUAGAGUGCAGGAGAGGAAGGUAGAAUUCCCGGUGUAGCGGUGAAAUGCGUAGAGAUCGGGAGGAAUACCAGUGGCGAAGGAGGCCUUCUGGACUGACACUGACACUGAGGUGCGAAAGCGUGGGUAGCAAACAGGAUUAGAUACCCGGGUAGUC